RNAcentral lists this ribosomal RNA (312 nucleotides) under uncultured Sediminicola sp. Its description in RNAcentral is "bacterial SSU rRNA". It matches the Rfam family "Bacterial small subunit ribosomal RNA", at positions 30 to 334 of the family's 1533-position model. Lineage: Bacteria; Pseudomonadati; Bacteroidota; Flavobacteriia; Flavobacteriales; Flavobacteriaceae. The record is from RNAcentral.
AUUGAACGCUGGCGGCAGGCUUAACACAUGCAAGUCGAACGGUAACAGGAAUUAGCUUGCUUAAUUUGCUGACGAGUGGCGCACGGGUGCGUAACGCGUAUACAAUCUACCUUUUGCUGAGGGAUAGCCCAGAGAAAUUUGGAUUAAUACCUCAUGGUAUUAUUGAUAGGCAUCUAUUAAUAAUUAAAGGUUACGGCAAAAGAUGAGUAUGCGUCCCAUUAGCUAGUUGGUGAAGUAACGGUUCACCAAGGCAACGAUGGGUAGGGGUCCUGAGGGGAUAAUCAGCCACACUGGAACUGAGACACGGUCCAG